GAUGAAGAACGUAGCAAAAUGCGAUAAGUAAUGUGAAUUGCAGAAUUCAGUGAAUCAUCGAAUCUUUGAACGCACAUUGCGCCCGCCAGUAUUCUGGCGGGCAUGCCUGUUCGAGCGUCAUUUCAACCCUCAAGCACAGCUUGGUGUUGGGACUCGCGUUAAUUCGCGUUCCCCAAAUUGAUUGGCGGUCACGUCGAGCUUCCAUAGCGUAGUAGUAAAACCCUCGUUACUGGUAAUCGUCGCGGCCACGCCGUUAAACCCCAACUUCUGAAUGUUGACCUCGGAUCAGGUAGGAAUACCCGCUGAACUUAAGUAUAUCAAUAAGCGGAGGA
RNAcentral lists this unclassified non-coding RNA (332 nucleotides) under soil metagenome. Its description in RNAcentral is "partial contains 5.8S ribosomal RNA, internal transcribed spacer 2, and large subunit ribosomal RNA". The stretch from base 1 to 120 matches the Rfam family "5.8S ribosomal RNA", at positions 35 to 154 of the family's 154-position model. The record is from RNAcentral.